UCAAUAUAAUCUUUGAAGCCUUCCCAAUC
RNAcentral lists this small RNA (29 nucleotides) under Bombyx mori (domestic silkworm). RNAcentral describes it as "ovarian small RNA-6782". The record is from RNAcentral. Lineage: Eukaryota; Metazoa; Arthropoda; Insecta; Lepidoptera; Bombycidae.